Molecule: ribosomal RNA, 194 nt
Filed under: uncultured Pseudomonadota bacterium
Lineage: Bacteria; Pseudomonadati; Pseudomonadota
Description: uncultured proteobacterium partial 16S ribosomal RNA
Rfam family: Bacterial small subunit ribosomal RNA
Source: RNAcentral
CCUACGGGAGGCAGCAGUGAGGAAUCUUGCACAAUGGACGAAAGUCUGAUGCAGCGACGCCGCGUGAAGGAUGAAGGUCUUCGGAUUGUAAACUUCUGUUGAGGGGGAGAAAAUGCGCAACAAUAAUACGGUUGCGAGAUGAUAGUACCCCUAGAGAAAGCACCGGCUAACUACGUGCCAGCAGCCGCGGUAAU